UAUAUGUAUACUAGAUAAGGCCCG
Molecule: non-coding RNA, 24 nt
Filed under: Arabidopsis thaliana (thale cress)
Lineage: Eukaryota; Viridiplantae; Streptophyta; Magnoliopsida; Brassicales; Brassicaceae
Source: RNAcentral